GCCGCGGGAGCGGCGGCCGCAGCGGCCGCGACUUCAUCCGGGUCCCGCAAGCUCACUGGAAGGUCCGGAAGUGCCGCCCCCGGGAGCCGCCGGCGCCAGUGGUGGAAAACAUCGGUUCAUUUGCAAAUAGUGAAAGGCUCCCAGGAAUUAGAGAGGG
Long non-coding RNA from Vidua macroura (Pin-tailed whydah), 157 nucleotides. RefSeq lists it as uncharacterized. The record is from RefSeq and is a predicted model, not a curated record. The transcript has 3 exons. Lineage: Eukaryota; Metazoa; Chordata; Aves; Passeriformes; Viduidae.